RNAcentral lists this small RNA (138 nucleotides) under Arabidopsis thaliana (thale cress). RNAcentral's name for it is "ATSL148060". Lineage: Eukaryota; Viridiplantae; Streptophyta; Magnoliopsida; Brassicales; Brassicaceae. The record is from RNAcentral.
AAGAAAAAUCAGAUAAUUAAAAUUCAGUGGCAACUAUUGUAAAUAAGUACCAACUCCAAGAUUUAUUUCACAAAAUGGCUGCAAAAUGUAUAUGUAGAUAUUUAGCUUAAGGAGGAGUCUAAAUUUAACUUUAGAAUU